RNAcentral lists this ribosomal RNA (303 nucleotides) under uncultured bacterium. RNAcentral describes it as "partial 16S ribosomal RNA". It matches the Rfam family "Bacterial small subunit ribosomal RNA", at positions 507 to 808 of the family's 1533-position model. The record is from RNAcentral.
AGCAGUCGCCGCGGUAAUACGUAGGUGGCAAGCGUUGUCCGGAAUUAUUGGGCGUAAAGGGCUCGCAGGCGGUUUCUUAAGUCUGAUGUGAAAGCCCCCGGCUCAACCGGGGAGGGUCAUUGGAAACUGGGAAACUUGAGCGCAGAAGAGGAGAGUGGAAUUCCACGUGUAGGGUGAAAUGCGUAGAGAUGUGGAGGAACACCAGUGGCGAAGGCGACUCUCUGGUCUGUAACUGACGCUGAGGCACGAAAGCGUGGGGAGCAAACAGGAUUAGAUACCCCUGUAGUCCCUGUCUCUUAUACC